This is a long non-coding RNA of Cyprinus carpio (common carp), 363 nucleotides long. The record is from Ensembl. Lineage: Eukaryota; Metazoa; Chordata; Actinopteri; Cypriniformes; Cyprinidae.
GGUCUUCAGGGUCUUUUGAAAAGUUACAGACCAGGUGUGCUGAAGAAGGUUGGAAAAAAACUUUGCAAGACAGUGGGUCCUGAGGAGCAGGGUUGAAGAGAGUUGACCUCUUGGGUUAAUUCAGGAUGGCUGGACCUGCAGGAAAAGCCAGAAUUGAGAAACCCUGCCCUACAAAGUGCAUAGCCUGUGACAGGUAUUUGUUGAAAUUCCACACACCCCGCAGGGAGAGGAAAGAACAUGUGUCUGCUGACCCAACCGCUCGUGUGCUUCAAAGAUCUAGAAACCAGUAGAGCUCCUCAACUUCAAGAUCACUUUAUAAAUAAUUGAAAUAAAUUAACAUGAAUAGAUAUUCUGUAUAAUAAA